AAGAAGAUCGUGGCAUAAUAGUCCUUGUACUGCUCAUGUUCUCUUAACCAAGAAUCUCCCAAGAGAUCUCCAAGUUUUGUUCCUUUUAAGUGCUUGUACAAAUGAUAGUGGUUGUUCAUAGCGUUAGAUAGGAUGGUGUCUUCGUAAGCCUUUGUCCAAGUCUCCACAUUGAGCUCAAUGGCUUUUAUUACAUUCAGUACCUCAGUAACAAGGAGCCUCUCCUGAAACCUCUCAUGCUUCCAACUUCGAUGAAUGAUCAGAACCUGGGUCAGAAUGGGCUUAUAGUCAUCCCCAAGAAGCUUAUUA
This 306-nucleotide unclassified non-coding RNA is filed under the name Hevea brasiliensis (rubber tree). Lineage: Eukaryota; Viridiplantae; Streptophyta; Magnoliopsida; Malpighiales; Euphorbiaceae. The record is from RNAcentral.